This 31-nucleotide non-coding RNA is filed under the name Homo sapiens (human). Lineage: Eukaryota; Metazoa; Chordata; Mammalia; Primates; Hominidae. The record is from RNAcentral.
UAAAACAGGACACCCUCUUGCAUGGAUUUGU